This 434-nucleotide ribosomal RNA is filed under the name uncultured Ruminococcus sp. Its description in RNAcentral is "partial 16S ribosomal RNA". It matches the Rfam family "Bacterial small subunit ribosomal RNA", at positions 341 to 792 of the family's 1533-position model. The record is from RNAcentral. Lineage: Bacteria; Bacillati; Bacillota; Clostridia; Eubacteriales; Oscillospiraceae.
ACGGAAGGCAGCAGUGGGGAAUAUUGCACAAUGGGCGCAAGCCUGAUGCAGCGAUGCCGCGUGAGGGAAGAAGGUUUUCGGAUUGUAAACCUCUGUCAACAGGGACGAUAAUGACUGUACCUGUGAAGGAAGCUCCGGCUAACUACGUGCCAGCAGCCGCGGUAAUACGUAGGGAGCAAGCGUUAUCCGGAAUUACUGGGUGUAAAGGGAGUGUAGGCGGGACUGUAAGUCAGAUGUGAAAUAUGCCGGCUCAACUGGCAGACUGCAUUUGAAACUGCGGUUCUUGAGUGAAGUAGAGGUAAGCGGAAUUCCUAGUGUAGCGGUGAAAUGCGUAGAUAUUAGGAGGAACAUCAGUGACGAAGGCGGCUUACUGGGCUUUAACUGACGCUGAGGCUCGAAAGCGUGGGGAGCAAACAGGAUUAGAUACCCUGGUA